RNAcentral lists this ribosomal RNA (377 nucleotides) under uncultured myxomycete. RNAcentral describes it as "bacterial SSU rRNA". It matches the Rfam family "Eukaryotic small subunit ribosomal RNA", at positions 76 to 410 of the family's 1831-position model. The record is from RNAcentral. Lineage: Eukaryota; Evosea; Eumycetozoa.
UCUCUCUGAAUCUGCGAACGGCUCCGCACACCAGUUGCAAACUAUAGCAAGCAAGCCCGUCGUUUCGCCGCAAGGUGGGCGGCGGGUAGAUGGAUAACCCUGGUAAUUCUGCGGCUAAUACAAGAAUGCAAAACCUCGCUGACUGGGCAACCGGAAGGCGGGGGGACGUGCUCUUCAAGUUGCAUGUAUAACCGGGAAAGGGGGCACGUCACGACCGCGCUAAAAAGGAAAGUUGCUCUUCGGGGCUUCUCUCUAGCGGCUCUUGCUAUGUACUUCUGACCUAUCAACUAGAUGGCAGCGUAAGGGACAUGCUAUGGUUACAACGGGUACAGAGGAUUAGGGUUCGAUCCUGGAGAGUGGGCCUGAGAGAUUGUUAG